GAUGAAGAACGCAGCGAAAUGCGAUAAGUAAUGUGAAUUGCAGAAUUUAGUGAAUCAUCGAAUGUUUGAACGCACAUUGCGCCCCCUGGCAUCCCGGGGGGCAUGCCUGUUCGAGCGUCAUUUCAACCCUCAAGCACAGCUUGGUCUUGGGCUUCGCCGCUAACCCGGCGGGUCUUAAAAUCAGUGGCGGUGCCGUCGGGCCCUGAGCGCAGUAAUCUCUCUCGCUAUAGGGUCCCGGCGGAUGCUGGCCAGUAACCCCCAAUUUUCUAUGGUUGACCUCGGAUCAGGUAGGGAUACCCGCUGAACUUAAGCAUAUCAAUAAGCGGAGGA
This 330-nucleotide unclassified non-coding RNA is filed under the name soil metagenome. RNAcentral describes it as "partial contains 5.8S ribosomal RNA, internal transcribed spacer 2, and large subunit ribosomal RNA". The stretch from base 1 to 120 matches the Rfam family "5.8S ribosomal RNA", at positions 35 to 154 of the family's 154-position model. The record is from RNAcentral.